This is an RNA transcript of Mauremys reevesii (Reeves's turtle), 388 nucleotides long. It is a transcript of the gene named zinc finger protein 641-like, with no coding region annotated. Lineage: Eukaryota; Metazoa; Chordata; Testudines; Geoemydidae. The transcript has 3 exons. The record is from RefSeq and is a predicted model, not a curated record.
CAGAGAGCCCUAUACUGGGAUGUCAUGCAGGAGAACUGUGAGAAUGUGACCUCGCUGGAGUUUCCAGUUUUCCCACCUGAUGAGCUCUCUCAGCCUCAACAAGACAAAGACCCGUGGGUCCCAAAUCUCCAUGAUUCAGAGGAAAGCGAGAUCCUGAGCGGUACCUGCCCAAGGGAGGAAUCAUUCAGCCAAUUUGAAAUCUGUCCGUGGCUGAAGGAAACAGCUGGGAUUCCCGACAGAGACCUUGGGAGUUCUCCGAGUUCAGGAUUGUCCCCAGCAGACCAUCCUAUGAAAAUAUUCAACACAAGAAUUCUGGCCACGAGACAAACACCACAAGACAGGACAUAGAACACAAAACAUAAUUCCUAUUGUGCCAGUACAUGCAUGG